RNAcentral lists this ribosomal RNA (595 nucleotides) under uncultured Pseudozyma. RNAcentral describes it as "eukaryotic LSU rRNA". It matches the Rfam family "Eukaryotic large subunit ribosomal RNA", at positions 81 to 658 of the family's 3401-position model. The record is from RNAcentral. Lineage: Eukaryota; Fungi; Basidiomycota; Ustilaginomycetes; Ustilaginales; Ustilaginaceae.
UAGUACGGCGAGUGAAGAGGGAAGAGCCCAAGAUUGAAAGCUGGCGCCUUCGGCGUCCGCAUUGUAAUCUCAAGAAGUGUUUUCCGCUUCGGACCAUGCCUAAGUCCCUUGGAAAAGGGCAUCAUAGAGGGUGAUAAUCCCGUACAUGGCAUGGAGCGCCCGAAGCUUUGUGAUACGCUUUCUAAGAGUCGAGUUGUUUGGGAAUGCAGCUCAAAAUGGGUGGUAAAUGCCAUCUAAGGCUAAAUAUUGGGGAGAGACCGAUAGCGAACAAGUACAGUGAUGGAAAGAUGAAAAGAACUUUGAAAAGAGAGUUAAACAGUACGUGAAAUUGCCAAAAGGGAAGGGUAGGAGGUCAGAGAUGCGUCGCAGGAUUCAGCCUUGCUUUUGCUUGGUGUUUUUCCUGCGUUGCAGGCCAACGUCGGUUUUGGGCACUGGAGAAGGGUAGGAGGAACGUGGCACCUCUCGGGGUGUGUUAUAGCCUCCUACUGGAUACAGCGACCGAGACCGAGGAACGCAGCGUACUCGUAAGAGCGGGCCUUUUGGCACCUUUACGCUUAGGGCGUUGGCAUAAUGGCCCUCUACCACCCGUCUUGAA